Molecule: ribosomal RNA, 849 nt
Filed under: Gammarus gonggaensis
Lineage: Eukaryota; Metazoa; Arthropoda; Malacostraca; Amphipoda; Gammaridae
Description: partial 16S ribosomal RNA
Rfam family: Bacterial large subunit ribosomal RNA (bases 562-849)
Source: RNAcentral
AGUGAAAGAAAAAAUUAGGGUUGUACCUUUUGUAUCAGGGGGGCUUAAAAUUGUAAUUAUGGUUUAAUCGAUUUAAACGGAGCUUCUUUUUUAAUCUUUAGUUGAAGUUAAAGGACAAAAGGUUUAAGUGGUGAAAAAUGUUCGACGUUUAUGGUAGCUAGUUACUUUAGUAAUAGGAGGGUUAAGCUUUCGUGUGUUUAUAAAAAAUUAUAGUUAAGAAAACUAGGCUUUAGAUUAGCCAUGCUAAUAAUUUGUUUAAAAUAAUUUUAUUUUUAUUAAGUGUAGAAUAAAUUUAUAUAGUUUUAUUUGUAAUUUUUAGCAAAUAGAGAUAAUGAGUCUAUUGAACAGAAAUUGGAGUCUAAAAAUGACUCAAGAAAGGUUAGAAAGUUUAACAAAAACAUUUCUAUAGGUGUAAUUUAUAGUAUGACCUGCCCAGUGCUUAGUUAACGGCUGCGGUAUUUUGACUGUGCUAAGGUAGCAUAAUCAUUUGUUUUUUAAUUGGUAGCUGGAAUGAACGGUUAAACUAAUGUAUUUAGUUUGUUAGACUAAAUGGUAAAUUAAAGUCAAGGUAAGAAUUCUUUGAUGGCCUAGGGGACGAUAAGACCCUAGAAGCUUUAUAAUAAGUUUGUUAUUGGUGCUAGCGGAUGAUUUUUUUUGCUGGGGCGGCACAGGUACACAGACUAUUUGGUUUUGAGAGAUCCUUUAAAUAAAGAAAAAACGGGUAAGUUACUCUAGGGAUAACAGUGCAAUAUUUUUGAAGAGAUCUUAUCGAUAAAAAUGUUUGCAACCUCGAUGUUGAAUUAAGAUUUCUGCGUGGAGUAGAAGAUACGUGAGAGGGUUUGUUCAACC